UGUAGAUAAGGUGCAGGUGUGACUGUUCUGGUAAGGGGUUGGGCAGCCAGUGAAGAGAGAGGAGGAAGAAGCAAAGAGAAGAGAGAGAACACAUGCUCUGGAUGAGGAGGGACUAGGAGAAGGCAGCAGAGGGACUGGCAUGAAGAGUAUGAUGAAGUGCUGAAUGGCUUCACCUCCCACCAAAGUCAAGGCAAGGUGAAGAUGCUCAGCCCCUUUGCUGGAUCGGCUCCCUGGUUUCCAAGGCAACUGUUCUUCAGCAAGAUUUAAUGAGAAGGUGAGGAGAUCCAUGAAGGCCUUUGAACAUGCAGAGGAACAGAGACCUUACAGAAAUGACUGUGCUUUUUAGAUGAAAAGGACAGGCGAGUGGACUGAACGGACAAUAAAUUAUUUGACAUUUUAAUGGGUUACCAUGAUAUUGCAGAAAAUGACCUGAAUAAAGUGGCUCAGUCCCCACAGAGAAAAAUAAAAUAAAAUAAGUAUAAUGGAAAGAGGAACCAUAAAAGGCUUAAAUGUGGGUUUAUUCAAACUGUCUGAAUGAAAGUGAAAGGAGCAAGUUACAUCCCUUGUUACAGCCUCUUAACAGCAGUUGAUCUCAAAAUGAAUUAGAAAAAAAAUGUAUCUGUGAUAACCUGACAUAGAAAAGCUGGUUGGGUAAGCUCCAUAAAACACAGACUUUAUAUCAGUGCCACAAAUAGGAAGCUAUUUGCAGGAGAUGUUAUAGCACAGGCAACAGGUACUUCUUGUUCUAACCUCAAGCAGUGUCAUCUGUUACAAGAAAAGUGGAAUUGUUGCUUGUACCUGAAGUGUCUCAGAUCAUGUUUACGCUGUGCCAUGCAUUUUUGUGGCCUAGAAUUUUCCAGGUUUAUUCUAACAUGAAUAGACUUACCUUUUAGCAGCCAGAAAGAUUUUGUAAAGACAAAGACCUAUCUAUCCUCUGUGUGGCACAAAGAGUUAAGCAAAUAUGGACUUUUGAUUCAACAAGAACUGAUAUUUUAAUACUUUUCUCACUGUAAUCUAGAUAUAAAAAUGAAAACAGUUCACCUUUUUCAUUAGAAUAAAGUCUGAACCUUUUCAAUUUAGUGUUAGAAAAAUUAUUUAUUUAAAGUCAACAUUGACAUGGAAGUGGCUCUGUCCACUACGUCUCAAAAAGUCUGAGAAAACUGUGGGAAUAAUUGAUUCUGCAAACUCUUGUUUUGGGGAGAUGAAGGGAGGGGGGGCAUACUGGUUAACUUAUGGGGAAAAAAUAAUAUUUUUUUUUGAUUAAUUGAAGAGAGAGAUUUCAAGUCAAAACAUUUUGUGUGGCUGACGGGGGAUUGUUAAAAAUUUCCCUAACCCUUUUAAAUGAAGUAUUGCCAAAUCCAGACUUCAAAACAAUUAUUUUGCAACUGAAAAGGAAGAACAUUUGCUUUUGAAAAUGCUGAAAUGAAAUGUUCCCACAGAUGCUUGUCUGGAAAAAUAAAGAAAGGGAAUUUUUGACAGAAACCUGUUCAUCGAUUCCACCCAGUCACAAAUAACUCCAGACCUAUUGUCAUCUUUCACAACCCCAGAAUUAGAUGCCAGUGAAAUGAAGUGUUCAUACAGCUUUAAAAUAAAAGCAGAAGCUCAGACCUCAUGAGAGAAAGACAUGAGAGCAUUGUAAGGGCAGCUCUAGCCCCAGCCUGCCCGGAGCAGUGCAGACACAGUGACGGUGAUCACCACCAGUUCUGGGGGGAAUGGUGAACCUGUGCCACCUUGAAGCCAGCAGCAGACUUACCCAACUAUGACUUCCACCCAAGAGCCAUGGCCCUGGACAGCUUAAAGCUCUAGGUGCUGUCAGGGGAAAUAAGAGCCUGAAAAGCAAAGACGGAGAUGAAGAAACAACUUUUCUAUUGCUUUGAGUGACUGGUACUACUUACCUCAGGUGGGAGGUCUACUGCACAGUCAGAGAAGGACGGGCACCCAGCAUACUUGGGGGCUUAUGCAGGCUUCAGUGCUCUGUCUUUCAAUUUGUAGGUGAGGCUUUAUCUCCUUGUUUUUAAUCUGGUAUUUCAUCUAUUUGUGUGGAAGGGUCCUUGUUAAAGAGUCCUGAAGAGAAUGUAAUGUUUUAAUACAGUUGUCGUACGGAGAGAAGUGAGUGAACAAUUAUCCCUUUUAAUACAAUGCUGAAGGUCACAAUUUUAGCAUCUAUGAAAUGUUUUGGCCUUGUCAGCACUUUUUGUUCAUGCACCUUUAUGGGUGACUUUAAAACGGUGUUUCCAACCAUAAAGUUCUCCCAGUCUUUAAUCUUAUCGACUGUUUUCUUGAAUGUUAUAGCCAAGAUCACUUGACUAAUUCAGCUUACAAAGUACUACUGGGAAAGAGUAUUUAUGGUAGUCCCAGCAAGGACAACCAAAUUAGCUGUAGCAAGCAGCCAGCCCGAAGAAGAAAUAAAACGAGGGAGUGAGAUAAUUUGGAACAAAAUGUAAAAGAAGCACAAAUCAUUUAAUAAAGGUUUUCCCUGGAGGAAAGUUUCCAAGCAGCUGAACAUCAGGACAGCUGAGGGGAAUGAGGUCAAUUGUGUUUAGACACAAUGUGUACAUUUUACUUUUUAAAAUGAUUGUCAUUUGUCAAACUUUAUGGGCCAGAUUCUUUCCUCAGUUUAACCGAUGUUAGAAUUUAACUCAUUAAAAUAAGAUUUUGUCUUUAGCAGACAGGAAGGUGGAGAGAAAGAUUUAUGUCAAGGAAACUGUAUAACAUCCUCCAAAGUUGAAUGAUAAUGCCUAAGAACUGGGAAAUAAAAAUGGAGUAUAAAUACGAAGCAAAAUGGACUAGCUGUGUUUUGUCAAAAAGUGUAGCAAACAAACAGCAAGUCUGUAAUUCUUUAGUAGGCUCCUGGAUUAGAUAGCUGUCCUACAUAUAGGUUCAACCUUACAUGCUUUACAUUCCUGUCAUUGUAUUAAUAAAUUGAAGUCCAGGCACACAUAAUGGAAGCACUGGAGUCCAGAUGGACAAGAGGUAACGGGAACAAAUAUUAUCCUCUUAGAAUAAAACUGCCUUUUCCUGCCCUACUUCAGAUGAAAACCAUAUAGUCAUAUCUAAGUUGAAGAGAGAGAACAUCUUCACUUGCCACCAGACGUUUGCUCCCCAUCUGCAAUGGAAAGGGAGCAUUUGAAGAUGUAGCUCAGUUGAAGAUUUAGCCCUCAGUGUAUCUGGUCAUAUGUCCAAUGCUAACUCAAUGCUAUGAAGAGUGAAGCACCAUAGUUUGAUGUGAGCUGAAGAUCCACCCUGGAACUUAAUGACAGAGAAAAGGAAAGUGUUUGAGUUGCUAAAUUUACUUUUCUUCCUAAUCACUGGAAUCAUUUAUUCUCUAUGUUGCUUUUGUGUUGUAAUAACCUGCUAAUAAACUUUGAUUCCUCAAUUUAAAAA
Long non-coding RNA from Falco peregrinus (peregrine falcon), 3384 nucleotides. RefSeq lists it as uncharacterized. The record is from RefSeq and is a predicted model, not a curated record. The transcript has 2 exons. NCBI's taxonomy places the organism in Eukaryota, Metazoa, Chordata, Aves, Falconiformes, Falconidae.